CAGCCGUCCGCGUGCUACGUCGUAGGUACGCUUUUAUGCAAAUUCAAGAAGGUUUUUGCGACGCCCGGCUCUAUUGCCAUACAAACCGCUCGUUACACCGCGACCGCGGCGUAACUAAUUAAACUUGUAAUUAACGAGCCGGGCUUAUUCGAUCUCGAGGUGUCCGCCACGCAAGCCACCACAUGUGCUUACGCCAACCUUGUGUUCGACUUUGUUCACUUAACUUUCUUUUCGCGCUUUUUAUUUUGUUCUCGCGGGAUAUGCAUGGCUAAGAGGCUAGAAUUCGUUUGCGACGCAUCGUGUGACUUCUGGUUUGAAAUUUUGGUUGCAGUGAGUGUUUGAAAUAGAGCGUUUCUUUGAGUUGUUUUCCGAUGUUCGUGAUUGACGUAACAGGUUAGGAAAAAGCGCGGAAACAAUAAUACGUGUAGACUAAGGUAAAUUAUAACCAGCAAGUAUCUGAAUGGAUCGCCGUCGGGGAAGAACAGAUUCCUCAUCUUUACGAUAUCUCUUGGUCAGGUGCAUUACCAUCAAACUGUCGCUAAUUACAUGGCUAGUGCUAUCUUUGUGCACAUAACCGUGGUUGCCUAUGUGCUUCGCUCGUGCAAUUUUAAUGGCGUCGAUUUGCCGCCACCACACACGACGCACUCGGAAACAAUUCAAAUUCUGGACAGGCGCACGGGGAUGAAGUAAUAAUCAUUUAUUGCGAUCCGUGGAAUCGAACAGGAAGCGUGCGUAUCCCUUUGACUCAACUUCACCGAGCAAAACUCACUGGCUGCAUAGAUGUGUUUACGAAUGAAAUCCAAGAUGCGGCCGAGCCGAUAGCUACUGGCGAUUCGCUCGUUUAACAGCGUAACGGCGAGCCGGCAGGAGUCAGGGCCGGUGACUGGCAUCGCGCGAAGAGAGACGGAUAGAGAGCACCGGGACACGAGGGAGCAGAGAGGCACAGGUAAAAACGUGACUGGGUCCCUACGAGGGUGCUAGAAGAUUGUUGGCUGGUUGCAUGGAUGAAAUUGAGAGAAUAGGAGUUCGCAAUAUGGACGUCGCAGGUGAUCUAUGAUCGAUAAGUCAAAUUUAUGGAAGCCAGUAGAGAGACACCAUUGAUGAUUUACAGUCAACUCGUUAAUAUUUCACGCAGGAUUUGGGCCCGAAGAAAUGAUCGGUUUCAAAAUUUAAUUUAAAAUUGUACAUUCAUUGUUACUUCUUUUGUUCAUACAACUUUGUGUUAAUUCUUAUAUUAUCUGAUUAAUCAGUUUCUCAAUUUUUGUUAAUAUAAGAAUUUACAUAAAUUUAGACGAACAAAAGGAAUAACAAUGAAUGUACAAUUGUAAAUCAAAUUCUGAAGCCGAGCCUGGUAACGUUUUAGUGUUAAACCUGCGAAAACUAAAUGGAGGAGGAGAUUGCAAAAGGUCUAACCUUGCGUGUCAAGUGGAAGCAGGAAGCGUCGUCGUCGUCUGCAUGAACUAAUCCUGUAUAACUACUAUCCAGGCACCAUCUAAAAUCUAGAAGACCCUAGGAGUCCGCAAACAGUUGCCAACGAUAACGAUAAAGUUAUCUAUGUUUCCUGAAUACAAAUGAGCGUAUUAUGUAAAUCUACUUUCCAUCGAAACAUCCGAAUCGAAGUUUUAUUAGAGAAAAAUGAAUGUGGGAGCUGGUACGUUGCAAGUGUACAUGGGUGGGAAUUAAGAUAAAAACGCUAUUAAAGGGUACAAGAUGCUUCAAACUUACGUAUGCAAAUGGUAAUUGUUAUUAGAAAGAGGAGCGCAGUUUCUGAAAUUGCUCGGAUUAAGUUGUAACGUUUUUUCAAAUGGCCGUUGAUACAGACAUCAAAGCAUCUAUUUAUUUGAACGAUGUGUAUAAGUUUCUUUUAUUUAGGAUUUUAUGUACUUAUAUGUACCCUUCGUUACCGAUAAGGGUUCUUUUAUUUUCUUAGAAAGUGAGACUCGCUUCUUACUUGCACCUGCCACGCUAUAUGUAUGUCUGAUACGAGUUUUCUAUGUAAUUUAAGGGCGUUCGUUAUUCCUGUAAUGAUGUUUGAUAUUUAUAGUUUCUGCAGUUAGAAGAUUCUACAAACUGCCUUUAUGUUCUUCUUUUACUUUUCCCCGUUCUUAGUUAUUUUCUGGAAAAAUUGUACAUAUCUCGAUUCUACGGAGUGAGACUGCUGUUGCUAAUUAGUUUCUUGCGAUUCGCGAGAUGGAAUGUUAUUCGAUAUUGUAGUAUACGAUCACUGCAAUAUUUUAUAUCUUCGUUAUAGCCUCUCAACCACCUUCGAAACCAAUUAUAUUUAUUUAUAUAAUAUUAAUCGUCACAUCAAAUAAAUUAUACGUAUU
This is a long non-coding RNA of Bombus terrestris (buff-tailed bumblebee), 2327 nucleotides long. RefSeq lists it as uncharacterized. The transcript has 7 exons. The record is from RefSeq and is a predicted model, not a curated record. NCBI's taxonomy places the organism in Eukaryota, Metazoa, Arthropoda, Insecta, Hymenoptera, Apidae.